CUCUCCCUCUCUGCGUCCACGCCGCCGCCUCUCCUCCCCUUCUCCCUCUCCGCCUGCCUCCGUCGUCCCUCCCUGCCGCCGCCCGCUCCUGGAAGCUCCGGAUCUGGCGGUGGGGUGUGGCUUGGAGGAAGGGGGGGGGGGUCCAGAUCCGGCAGCGCUGGCCGGACGAUGCCGGUGCUUGGGCGAGCAGGACAGCCCCGCUCUCACCGCGGGCGCCGCCCCUCCCCGCCCCCCUCACCGUGGCGCUCCUCCCCUCCGGGAUCCGGCAAGGGCGAGGCUCGCAGCACCGGCAGCGCCGGCCGGGCUGCCUCGUGGAGCGGCGUCUCCUCCCCUCCGGGGUCCGGCGAGGGCGCGGCUCGCAGCACCGGCGGUGCCGGCCGGGCUGCCUCGUGGAGCGGCGGCUCCUCCCCUCCGGAUCCGGCGAGAGCCGCGGCUGGGCGGGCAGCGGGGGCCGCGGCUGCAGGGCCGGCGUGGCACCCCCACCUUUCCUUCCGGUGCAGGAAGGAUGGACACGCUGCUAUGCUGAAGAAGGAAGAACUGCUCGUGCCAAUCAGCUUAGCCAUAUCCUUGCGUGAAUUAAGGUAGUGCUCCCCUUCCUCCUUCCUUUAGCUUCGUACAUUGCACCAGUAGGUUUGUGAACCUGUCCUUUUUCUCUUGCUCAUCAAUUGUGUAUAGAAUUAAAAUAAGCUACUGUUAGUACAAAAUGUUCCAAGGUUCUCCAUACAUUUAGCAGGGAGAUUUUCUAUUUGGGUUGUUUUGCUAACCUGAACUAUUGUUGUGUCUAUACUGAGAUAAUAGGAGGAUGUAUUAGACUCUGCACCAGUUCUAGAGGUAAGACCAGAGGUAUGUGCAAUUGCCCUUUUUUUUCUUACUGAAUCAUCAAUCAUCUAUAGAAUUAAAACACUCUGCACCAGUUCUAGAGGUAAGACCAGAGGUAUGUGCAAUUGCCUUUUUUUUUCUUACUGAAUCAUCAAUCAUCUAAAGAAUUAAAACACUCUGCACCAGUUCUAGACGUAAGACCAGAUGUAUGUGCAAUUGCCCUUUUUUUCUUACUGAAUCAUCAAUCAUCAAUAGAAAUAAAACAAGGUUUUAACUGUAGUAGAAAAUGUUUUGUGCAGGAGAACACCCCUUGCGUUUUGUGGAGGAGAACACCCGGUGCCCCAAAAUCUCCGGAUAAUUCAGCGAAUCCUCAGAGCGAGAGGUACAGAAUUGAACAACGGCUGAUCGCCACGCCGUGCUCACCUUCGCCGCCACCUGCCGCGUGUUCCUGGCAAUAGCUCACAGAUUGCGAAAUUUUCGAGUUUCGAGUAUGUGGAGUGUAAUGGAAAAGAUGUUGGGCUCAGCGUGCGAAAGAAGUCUGAAACAGUUCUUGCCAUUGUGGGUGGGAGAAACUUACUGAUGCAGUUCCAAGUCAGGGAGAAGGCUGCUGCUACGAGGGAUAAGUACUUCGGUUUGUCAUCAACUGAGGUAACAUACAAGUCAAACACAGCAUCAUUUGGUAGUGCCAGCUACUUCCAUAUGCCUGUCCUGAUUUGCGAGAGCUGGCUUGCCUCUGAUCAAAGGGGGGGGGGGAAUACUAAUAAAGUAGGAUGGAUAUUCAAACAGAGCUUAUUUAGUCUAGAAGGAAUCAGAUGAUCAAACGGGGAACGGUAAAGGAACGGCUAACAGUUGAUUCAGUGUCUAGGAAGAUGGCUGGUUUGUGUCCACUCAUGCUAGAAGAGAUUGAAUAAAACACUUAUCAUGGAGGCUGUUGUGUUGAUGGGCAUACUAUAGAGAUAAUGAUGAGUUUGUGAUCUUAAGUUUGAGUGUUAAAGAAUUUGACCUGGUGACUCGGAAGCUUCACGGGCAGAUCCACCUCCAAAGAUUAAGAACAUUAGCUUCAGUGUUUGGGAUGUGAGUGGUCAGGACAAGGUAUGAAUAAAACCUUUUUGUUUGGGUGAUAUUACUUUUGAUAUGAUACAAUUAUUAUUGCUAAUUUCAUGUAUGUAUUAUAAUAUGAAAUUUAACACUCACUUCAAAUUUUGAUGGAUGAAAAUGUUGCCGAUUACACAUUUAAGGUUAUCAGGUACUAGCAACAUAUUCCGGGUCGAGCUCGAGCUCCAGCACGACCUCAAGCUCAAGCACAGCAACGAGCACCGGCCAGCAAGCCGGAUAUGAGACACCUAUGACGAUAGUGUACCCACAAUCGCACAGUGCUCAAUGCUAGCGUAUUAAUGAUGUAUCUAUUCCUAUAUGCUGUAAUUUUGUGUUGAAUUUAUCCUAUACCAAGUAUGUCAUUUGUAACAUUUCAUUACCUUCAAUUUAUACUUAUUUAAUUGCAUAUUUAUUAUCUUUGA
Panicum virgatum (switchgrass) is the source of this 2336-nucleotide RNA transcript. It is a transcript of the gene named myosin IC heavy chain-like, with no coding region annotated. The record is from RefSeq and is a predicted model, not a curated record. Lineage: Eukaryota; Viridiplantae; Streptophyta; Magnoliopsida; Poales; Poaceae. The transcript is spliced from 8 exons.